CGCACCUUUCUGUCUCAGUCGUCUGAAAUGGUACAUCGAACCAUACUCGAAGCGUGCGCCCAGCGGAGUGUCCGGCUCAUUCCUGGGCAGAAAUAAGUCCCGAGGUGACCUGUCCCCCCCAGCUGUCUCGAGCUGCUCGUGCAGACUCGUGGGCUUCGUGAGUGGGGCAGAAACCACAAGCACGCCUCUGGACGGGAUGGGCAAAUACGGUAUGUUGCAAUGCGAACCUCUUAACAGGAGCACAAGAACGGGUGUUUCUCCUCACUAACACAGGAGGGGGACGUAAAAAGUAAAUGAAAUAGAUUUGGAAAUUGAGGGAAGAAAACUAAAAAAAAAAAACUCGCGUGGUUAUUUAAUGAUUGUAUCAUGAAGGCGGGCCAAAGUUUAGCUUCCCUAACAUGUUGGGAGGCGGAGUUUAGUAAUUUCACUCUUUUUGUUUGGGACGAGACAUAACAUGCGCUUGUAGCAACUUAAGUGUAGAACUUAAGAGUCUUCCAGCACUUCUCACAGCUUAAUACCCACUCGUAUGUGGUUUUCAAACUUCGCCGUAAGAAAAGCUUACAGUCCGAAACAGUUGUGGAAGAGCAGAAGGAGGAGUUUGAGCAGAAGCAGGGAAGUCAGCCUGAGUCCCUUGUUGGGAGGACGAGGGAGCUGGCCGAGUGAUGAUCGCUGCUCUCUGAGUCGGCACAUUCCCACAGACAUGAUCAUCCGGCUGGGAAGACUGACGCCGGGAUACUUCCGCCUCUUGCAGAGACAGGUUGCUGGAGAAGUCCAAAUGCAGCCGAAGGACCGCAUGGUCAACCAGAUAGCCAUGAUGUUAGCCAUAAUGGGGCUGGGGCUGUCCUACUACAGCACCCGCAGGAUGACGGAGGUGGUCGCCACGGAGCCGGGAGACUGAGGGGACCAGGAGCUGGAGGAGCUGACGCAGGAAGAACACAGACGGGGAGAUGCCACAUCCACACAUGUGCAGCGCCAACACAUGUGCUGCAAAAUGGGUCACACAGGGCAGUAUGGCACAGAUCUGCUGUCAGGACGGGGCACAGUUCCAAAUCCCCUGAUCUGGGCUCUGUUGUAUUCCCAAAUCUAGGUUUGUAAUCCCAGCAUUUUAGUAUGACGGCCUGAUUUUCAGUCUUUGCCAAGCUGUGUUAAAAUUGUCAGUGUUGCAGAUCCAGAUGUGAAAGUGGAAUAGAUAUACAAGUUUAACAUACAGGCUGCGGCAGUGCAAUCUGCAUCUGAGUUACUUUGGCCAGUAAGUCAUUAAGUGAUCAUGCAUCUAAACAUCUAAGCACUUUCAAACUGAAAACCAGGCCUACAACCACACAAAAGAAACAUAUCAUCUCCACGUGGUGUUUUUUUUAAAUUGGCUUUAUUUUCCUAAUUCAAAUCAGGUCAUUUCUUUAUUAGAAAGCAGGGUAGAAACCUCAUAUUUGAGAUUUAACAGUGUAUCGAUGAAACUGUUUAUCUCUGUGAAUACUCCAGCGCAGUCAAUUCUACAGUACUGUUGGGAGGCAUUUUUUCAAGACUAUUACAACACAUUUAAGAAUUUUGAAAGUUGUUUGUAAUGUUUUAGGGUUCAAGAGGGAUUCAGUCAAAAUAUAUUUUGUUAUAAUGCAUUGUGGAGUAAAAUUAAAGAUCUUGUACAAUAAUGUACAAUCUAGAUGUGUAAAAACCUGUGACACUUCACAGUGCAUUGUGACUCUUUGGUUUUGUAACAGGGAUUUAGGUUGUGGUAUAAAUGUAUAGAUACAGUAGUUGCUUAGAACUUUAAGAACAAUAGUGACCAAUGUUUGUUCAAGUAAUAGAGUUUGCAAGCAGUAUGUACAACACUGUGAAAAUGAUGGAGGUAUGAUCUGGAAGAGAGAGGCUACUGUUUAAGUUAAAUUGUAGUCUGGAGCAGAUUUCUGGAAUCAGAAUCCUACAAAAUGUUAUGAAAAGGGUUUAUUCCUCCUAAAAUUUUAGAGGUAUACUUGUAUUACUUUAGGAAGCCUAUGCACAGCCACAAAAACACUGUGCCAUUUCAGCUUGCGGAUAUUGAACCACUUCCUGUCCUGAAGGCCAGACUCUUAUGCCUGUUCCUGUCCAUUACGGCCAGGCUGUGGUACACAACAGGAAUUUGCGAGACCUAGUAGUUUUAAUCAGACGUAACUCCAUUCAAAGUGGGGAGUGCAAACAAAAUGUGAACCUGGUGGCUUAGAAGAAAGAACCAUGAAAGCAGAUAAAACUGAAUAUGUUUUGUAAAGGAUGCUGUGGUUUUCAAGAGCAUUUUUUAUGAUCAUAUUGGUAAGGUAAAUCUGAAGGCUAAUGCUGGUAUUAGCUCUGUACUACCAUGGAUAGAGGAAAUAAGAACCAAAUAUGGGAAGUAAAAGGAAGACAGACAGGUGAUCCAAUUCUAAAUGGAAACAUUUUAAAUAUCCUCUCUCUAUUACAUGUGGAUCGUAAUUUUGAUGGUUCAAAUUUUGAUGAUUUUUUUUUCAAAUUAAGGAAUUCAGAAGCAGACCAUUUCAUCAGUGAGAAAAGAUUGCAUAUCGGACAUUUAGCUGUGAAAAAUAAAGAACUGACAGACAAAAUGCUGUCAUGUCAGCUGUGCUCCAUUUUGGUAUUUUGGCAUAGUCAGGGCCUACUUCUCUUUGUUUUGAAAAUUCCCAGUGUGCUUCUGGGCUGUUAUUUUAGGAAGACCCAGCAGCGAAAGAGGUGAUAGGAUGGGAAAGUGACAGGAAGGCAACCCGUGAGGUUGUGUGUUUUCAGCACAGAUCAUGUCUGGAGCCAGAGGCCAGAGAGGGGAGGGGGGAGGACUGGCCUGGAAGAUGUCUUUGUUUUUAUCCAGCUCUGAGAGCGCACGUUUUCAGUCUGCGGAUGUGAUGCUCUGUGACAGGCGCAGUCCUCAUUCGGGGAAAAAACGUGCCGUACUCUGCCGCCCAGUCUGUCUCGCCUAGUUACAGAUCACUGGGCAAAUCAAAUCUCUCUGGGAAUGUGACCGCAGCAGUAUUAGUGGGUAAGUUACAUAAGCCACCCAGAAAGCCAUAGAUACAAGGAAAUGAAAACAGUUCUCAAAAGUAGGACACUACCGAACUGCUGUUGACUUAUCAUUGCGGAUUUUAUUUUUCAAUAGUAAAGAAAAAAGGGAUUCACUGUUAACAAUAACAAGCAAAUAUAAUGAGAUUGAAGCUUACCAAGGUGCUGAAUAUCAAAGUCAACAUACUGUACAAUGCAGUCAAUCUGAAUUUUGAUAAGUACAUCACGCUUAAACCUUUAUAUUAUUAACCAUUAAAGAUGGAACCAGAAAAGGGUGUGUUUUUGGGGGAGGAUACUGUUUUGAACAGAAUGCUGGAAGUGCCAAUCUAAAAAAACAAAACAAAAGCAAGAUUUCCACAGCCAGACCCAUUGAAGACCAAGGCUGAAGUGUGGAUUUCGAAAAUAUUUUGCAACAUAACUAAGCAUGAGUACUUUAUGAGCAAUUGUACCUUAUUACAAAUGUGCAGAAGUUCAGAGGGGAGUUGCCAUGUUCAGGCUUUUAAUUUUUCUGUCAUAAUUUUUAUUACAUGUUCAGCUGAGCCAAAGUCAAGAAAAGAGGGAACUCAAUUUACUGCAAAGUUUGUACGUUACAGGGUAGGAUGCGACACUGUGAAUAUUCUUUGGAGUGUUCUCCUGAUGCUGUGUUUAUGUGGCUGUGCUGUGAAAACUGCAGUCACUUUAGAGUCUGGUGCCUGAGCCUAGUGAAAUCACUGACACGGUGAGUUGUGCUUGUAUUGCUGCUACACGUGCAAUAAAUGUAUUUAACUUCACAGACUGCAGUGGUGGGUUUUUUUUUUUUGCUCUUCACUAUACGUAUCCACUUGCUUUCAUGCUGAAAAAGGAGUCUUAAUCAAAAGGCCAGGUCUAUAGUCCCAGCAAAUUCAGACAUGAAAAACAUUCAAAGCAUCUUUUUUAAUUCUGAUGAGGUGUGGUCUUUUUGUCAAGAGGAUAUUGGCAUGUUUUCUUGUAUCAUUACCUCUGCUGGUCCAGGGGGAGCACAAGGUUCUGUUUUUACAUUAAUCUUGUAAUGAAUGAACUAGAUGGAUAAUUUAAAAUUUAAAAGUCCCCACCUUUCACAGAUGUGUGCCUACUAAGGAGCUCCAGUUGCCUGAGGAGCCUGCAAGGAGAGAAUUGGUAUGAAGGAUCAAUAACAGCCUGAAUUCUGGAUUGACAUUGGUCAAACAGAAUGACUCUUAAACCUUGACUUCAAACAUGAAUAAAUCACUAAUCACAAAUCACAGUGCUUCUGUGCUGCACACUGUUGAUAUUUAUGUUUCACAAAGAUUAAAGUAGAAAUCUGGUUGAGAUGAGUGUAAGUCUUGGAUCCUGCAAUAGAAUGGUGUAGAUUGUUUCCAGUGAACAGCAGCAUAAAGUGCCUUAGAUUACACUCCUCCAUGAUUCGCCCUUAAUUAUGAUGCCAGGGAGGCAUGAAGUUACAUUUCCUGUUUGACACUUAUGCUCUGCUUGUUUGUGGGAAUUUCACGAAACAGCUUAACAACUUAGUUAAGGGAUACAAAUACAAAAUACAAAUAUACAAAUACAAAAUGGUAUUUUAAUUCCAAAUAUUGUACAUCUUUAUGCAACCAAAGGCCACAGAUGAUGUUCUUAAAUGUCAUACUUAAAAAUGUGCUCUAGUAGGUACAACUAUGUGCGUUUCCUCUCUCUUCAGGAUAAUUUUCCUUUUUCAUUCCGAUUUUCAACAGCAGUUUAUUUUAUUCUCUGAUAUCAAGGUGAAGGUCAGUUUAAAUCUUUUUUUAUGUCCCUAAUGAUAUUUUGCUUUGGCACUGUGACUCUUAAGGGAUUCAUAUUUGUUUCUAUUAAAGAUCUCCAAAUUAAGGGCAUUCCCCCCCAGGGUAUUACAAGAAAAAAGAAUAUUGCUGUUUUUAAAAUUUAUUAAAAUUUGUGCAAUUCUUAAAGUGACUUUAAUAAACAUUUACUAUCACUGAAA
Molecule: long non-coding RNA, 4960 nt
Organism: Lepisosteus oculatus (spotted gar)
Lineage: Eukaryota; Metazoa; Chordata; Actinopteri; Semionotiformes; Lepisosteidae
Source: Ensembl